UUCGGGGUGGAUCAGUGGCGAACGGGUGAGUAAUACGUGGGCAAUCUGCCCUGCACUCUGGGACAAGCCCUGGAAACGGGGUCUAAUACCGGAUACGACCUUCCUCCGCAUGGGGGUUGGUGGAAAGCUCCGGCGGUGCAGGAUGAGCCCGCGGCCUAUCAGCUUGUUGGUGGGGUAAUGGCCUACCAAGGCGACGACGGGUAGCCGGCCUGAGAGGGCGACCGGCCACACUGGGACUGAGACACGGCCCAGACUCCUACGGGAGGCAGCAAUGGGGAAUAUUGCACAAUGGGCGAAAGCCUGAUGCAUCGACGCCGCGUGAGGGAUGACGGCCUUCGGGUUGUAAACCUCUUUCAGCAGGGAAGAAGCGCAGGUGACGGUACCUGCAGAAGAAGCACCGGCUAACUACGUGCCAGCAGCCGCGGUAAUACGUACGGUGCGAGCGUUGUCCGGAAUUAUUGGGCGUAAAGAGCUCGUAUGCGGCCUGUCGCGUCAGAUGUGAAAGCCCGGGGCUUAACCCCGGGUCUGCAUUCGAUACGGGCAGGCUAGAGUGUGGUAGGGGAGAUCGGAAUUCCUGGUGUAGCGGUGAGGUGCUCAGAUAUCAGGAG
Molecule: ribosomal RNA, 608 nt
Filed under: Streptomyces sp. ANA1205
Lineage: Bacteria; Bacillati; Actinomycetota; Actinomycetes; Kitasatosporales; Streptomycetaceae
Description: bacterial SSU rRNA
Rfam family: Bacterial small subunit ribosomal RNA
Source: RNAcentral